Molecule: long non-coding RNA, 2120 nt
Organism: Halichondria panicea
Lineage: Eukaryota; Metazoa; Porifera; Demospongiae; Suberitida; Halichondriidae
Exons: 3
Source: RefSeq, a predicted model, not a curated record
UCCAGAGCUAGAGAAACAUUGUGCAGUCAGUUUUGAAGCUCCGAACGCUCGAGCCAAGUGGCAAACUAUUGUCUGUAUUGGUGGAGGCUAAAGACAUGUGUCCAUGGACAGGGACUACUAAGAAACCUUCACCAAGAACAAGAAUAAACAAUAAUUAUCAUCUCUCACGUGAAACAGAAAAGAAAAAAUUGUGCAGUUAGUUUUGAAGCUCUGAGCAUGCAAGUGGUCAAACUAUUUGUCUGUAUUGGUGGAGGCUGAAGACAUGGGUCCAUGGACAGGGACUACUGAGGAACCUUCAUCUCCCCCCCCCCCCGUUACCCUGACUGCACUGUUGCCUGGAAACACAUCAGGAGUGACAGUAUCCUCGACUCCCUUCACACUUUUACUAGGGCUCGGACUCAGACCCAUGGCAAUCGGAGCUUGUACAAGUAACCAUUGUUCUCCUUGACUUUGUUUCACAAUUUUAGCUAAACUUGAAUCUGUACUGGUAGUGGUCAUUUCAAAUGGUGCGGGGAAGCUAUGACUAGUGUCCAAUUCAGUUUCUAUUUUUACCAGAGUGGCAGAAAGGUCUUGCACAACCUCUUCUUCCUCUUCCUCAGGCACAGUUGGUACUUUUCUAGUUGGCUUUAUGACCACUUGUACAUGUACAGUACGUGUUAAUUAUGACUUGGGCCCUAUUAAACUUGGCCUUGUGUAUGAUAUACAAGUAACAUAAGUUUUUUAUAUGUUUCGUUUUGUAGUACAUUGUGUAUACCGCAGUUGAUGUAAUCACAGCGCCACUCUAAUUAUACGAAAUUCGAAAUUGUUGACCAUAAUUAUUAUACCAUCAUAUAAAUUCAUUUGUGUUAUGUACAUAGUCUCGCAAAAAUAAUUUUUCCCUGGCGUUGUAUUUACACCAAUUACGGUAACACACACACACGCUUGUCGUGUCCACCCACUCACAUAGGAUCUCCACACGCUAACGGGCGAUGGCUGUUUCACAACAAUGAAAUUUCACCACUUAGUUUAUCAGGAUGUACUACAUGAUUAUGACAAGAUAAACAUUCCUUCAAAACCACAAGCCAGUAGAAAUGGGUCCGGUCUUAGGAGUAUCCCCAUGGGAAGGGGAGUUCCCAAGUAUGUGUAAAAUGUGACUAUGCAGGAAGUACAGACUCUGUACUUUCCAUUGAUGGUAGUUUCAUAAAAAUCAGGCUAUCUUAGCACGUGUUGUAGUUGCUUGUUCAGUACAUGGUUUUGGGCAAGGUUGUAUGGCGUCUCCAGUAGAGAAGCACUUCUGUCAACAAAAGCGUUUCUAAAGACAAGUAACAACCAGUACAUUAUAAAGGAAGCUCUCAGGUGGAGGUCUGAGAUCGCUGAGGUGGUCUGUUUUGAGGUGACAGAAAGGACACGAUGGGGAUUGAGACACUUGUAACCACCUGCACAAGCAACCAGCACAGGCAAGCCUACCACACAGCUGUAACUCAAUCGGUCUGUCUAGUAUGUACAAGCAUACAGGACAAUCGAAAAAACUUUGUGAGGCAACAACCGAUUCUUGCUGACAGAUGGUGGGAGGAGCUAUCGAUUUAAUGUGCUUGAUCGCUGACUGGAAUGAGCCUUUUGCUGGUCUGCCAGGUGUGUAGGAUUGUUUUUUUUGGCCUCCCACCAACACUGUGAGUGCUAACGCUUAAACAAACUGAGCAAUUAACACUGUGUGCAGACCAGGUCGCAAUCGUUUUUUGUGGAUUAUAAUCUUUUUCGUCUCUAGUGUGCUUAAUAGUAUGAUAAAUAAUGUUAUUGCAUGGGUGACAAUAUGAUUGGGGAUGAAUUGCGUCCACAUCUUCGUUCACUUCUAUCCCAAAAACCUCCAGAAGAUCAACCUUUCUGUCUGAACAGGAAUACUUAUGGCCUUGAGGACCUUUCUUGUUCCUGAAAUAAGACCCACACACCCGACAGUGCUUGGAGAGUGCUACAAGGUGCUCAUCAUCCAUUCCUGAAUGUAUUAUUUGUUGUUAGUCUUUAACCAUACUAUGUGAGUAUAUAUAAAUCAUUAUUGUAUUGAAGUCGUAAUUAUUUUUUGUCAAUUUUUGGUCAAUUUUCAAUCCUAAUUAAUAUUUGUUGCAAAAAAAAGUGAAGUUACCUGU